GACGAACGCUGGCGGCGUGCCUAAUACAUGCAAGUCGAGCGGACUGAAUGGGAGCUUGCUCUUGUUCGGUCAGCGGCGGACGGGUGAGUAACACGUGGGCAACCUGCCCGCAAGACCGGGAUAACUCCGGGAAACCGGAGCUAAUACCGGAUAACACCGAAGACCGCAUGGUCUUUGGUUGAAAGGCGGCGCAAGCUGCCACUUGCGGAUGGGCCCGCGGCGCAUUAGCUAGUUGGUGAGGUAACGGCUCACCAAGGCGACGAUGCGUAGCCGGCCUGAGAGGGUGACCGGCCACACUGGGACUGAGACACGGCCCAGACUCCUACGGGAGUCAGCAGUAGGGAAUCUUCCGCAAUGGGCGAAAGCCUGACGGAGCGACGCCGCGUGAGCGAAGAAGGCCUUCGGGUCGUAAAGCUCUGUUGUGAGGGACGAAGGAGCGCCGUUUGAAGAAGGCGGCGCGGUGACGGUACCUCACGAGGAAGCCCCGGCUAACUACGUG
RNAcentral lists this ribosomal RNA (499 nucleotides) under uncultured bacterium. RNAcentral describes it as "partial 16S ribosomal RNA". It matches the Rfam family "Bacterial small subunit ribosomal RNA", at positions 28 to 507 of the family's 1533-position model. The record is from RNAcentral.